This 376-nucleotide ribosomal RNA is filed under the name uncultured organism. RNAcentral's name for it is "partial 16S ribosomal RNA". It matches the Rfam family "Bacterial small subunit ribosomal RNA", at positions 527 to 897 of the family's 1533-position model. The record is from RNAcentral.
GUAGGUGGCAAGCGUUGUCCGGAAUUAUUGGGGCGUAAAGCGCGCGCAGGCGGUUCUUUUAAGUCUGAUGUGAAAGCCCACGGGCUCAACCGUGGAGGGUCAUUGGAAACUGGAGAACUUGAGUACAGAAGAGGAAAGCGGAAUUCCACGUGUAGCGGUGAAAUGCGUAGAGAUGUGGAGGAACACCAGUGGCGAAGGCGGCUUUCUGGUCUGUAACUGACGCUGAGGCGCGAAAGCGUGGGGAGCAAACAGGAUUAGAUACCCUGGUAGUCCACGCCGUAAACGAUGAGUGCUAAGUGUUAGGGGGUUUCCGCCCCUUAGUGCUGCAGCUAACGCAUUAAGCACUCCGCCUGGGGAGUACGGCCGCAAAGGCUGA